GAUGAACGCUAGCGGCAGGCUUAACACAUGCAAGUCGAACGGUAACAUGAUUAGCUUGCUAAUUGAUGACGAGUGGCGCACGGGUGCGUAACGCGUAUGCAACCUACCUCUAACUGGGAGAUAGCCCGGAGAAAUUCGGAUUAAUACCCCAUAAUAUGUGUCUUUUGCAUAUUAGACAUAUUAAAGCUUUGGCGGUUCGAGAUGGGCAUGCGUGACAUUAGCUAGUUGGUAAGGUAACGGCUUACCAAGGCUACGAUGUCUAGGGGGUCUGAGAGGAUUAUCCCCCACACUGGUACUGAGACACGGACCAG
Molecule: ribosomal RNA, 311 nt
Filed under: uncultured bacterium
Lineage: Bacteria
Description: bacterial SSU rRNA
Rfam family: Bacterial small subunit ribosomal RNA
Source: RNAcentral